GGGGUGCUCGAGUGGCGAACGGGUGAGUAACACGUGAGUAACCUGCCCUUGACUUUGGGAUAACUUCAGGAAACUGGGGCUAAUACCGGAUAGGAGCUCCUGCUGCAUGGUGGGGGUUGGAAAGUUUCGGCGGUUGGGGAUGGACUCGCGGCUUAUCAGCUUGUUGGUGGGGUAGUGGCUUACCAAGGCUUUGACGGGUAGCCGGCCUGAGAGGGUGACCGGCCACAUUGGGACUAAGAUACGGCCCAG
Molecule: ribosomal RNA, 249 nt
Filed under: uncultured Actinomycetales bacterium
Lineage: Bacteria; Bacillati; Actinomycetota; Actinomycetes; Actinomycetales
Description: partial 16S ribosomal RNA
Rfam family: Bacterial small subunit ribosomal RNA
Source: RNAcentral